Molecule: non-coding RNA, 424 nt
Organism: Caenorhabditis japonica
Lineage: Eukaryota; Metazoa; Nematoda; Chromadorea; Rhabditida; Rhabditidae
Source: Rfam
AAAAUAGCGGGGAAAGAAGACCCUGUUGAGCUUGAAUCUAGUUUGACAUUGUGAAGAGUCAUGAGAGGUGUAGAAUAAGUGGGAGUCUUCGGACGCCAGUGAAAUACUACCACUUUUAUCGACUCUUUACUUAUUCGGUUAAAAGAGAAUUGGUCGCAAGGCCUCUUUUCGAAGCAUCAAACGGAGCCAUUUUAUGGCAUCGUGACUCUCCUCAAAGACAGUGUCAAGCGGGGAGUUCGACUGGGACGGUACAUCUAUCAAAUCGUAACGUGCAGUACCGGACAAAAAGAUAUCAUAUUUUGGUUUUUGACGUAUACCUUUUGAAUGGAGAGGGUUAUGGUUCUGAAAAUUUGCAUGAAUCUGUCCUGUAAUGUUUUCGACAAGCUCCAAAAAUGGAUUUGGUCAUUUUUUAAACUGCAGAUUU